This 614-nucleotide unclassified non-coding RNA is filed under the name Salicornia persica. Its description in RNAcentral is "partial contains external transcribed spacer and small subunit ribosomal RNA". Lineage: Eukaryota; Viridiplantae; Streptophyta; Magnoliopsida; Caryophyllales; Amaranthaceae. The record is from RNAcentral.
GCCAAGCGGUGCUGAUUAGGGGUUGUUCUUACUCUCCCUUGCAAUUAUUUUGUACUUGUAGGGGUGCAUGUAGGCACGGUCCUUGUGAUGCGGUACGUGAUGGUGUGUGAGUGGUAUUUGGUUUGUGUGGUUGGCGGGCUCUUUGCUUGUGCAUUGGACCGUUCACCAACAUACCUUUUCAUUGUAUGCUGCAAGUGCACCAUUUUGCCUUGGGCGACGUGUGGUCCCUAUGUUGGAUUCCGAUUAACGGUAUUGUUGUUGUCCCUUUAAAGAGUGAUAUUCGCUCUACGUCCGUAAAAGGAGGUCGAGCGGACCAUGAAACUUGACUCGUUAUCCUCCUGUUUUGUGAAAACAAGCAUGAUAGGGUUGGAUUAUGAUCUCAAGUUGGGCCCUAGGAUACAGAAAGUUGUGUGGGAGUUGAUGUAAAAACGUCGCAAACCCAAAGCGUUGGUACGCUAAUGAUGGAUGACAUUCGAGUGUGUUGUGAUUCUUUCAUUCUAGAAAGGUUCAUGCUCGCCGAUGUCGACCAAGGAGUGCUACCUGGUUGAUCCUGCCAGUAGUCAUAUGCUUGUCUCAAAGAUUAAGCCAUGCAUGUGUAAGUAURAACUAAUUCA